GAGGAUGUGGCUCAAGUGGUAGAGCGUUUGCCUGGCAUGCGAGCGGCCUGGGUUCUAUCCUCAGCACCACA
This 71-nucleotide transfer RNA is filed under the name Marmota monax (woodchuck). It matches the Rfam family "tRNA". Rfam says of the family: Transfer RNA (tRNA) molecules are approximately 80 nucleotides in length. Their secondary structure includes four short double-helical elements and three loops (D, anti-codon, and T loops). Lineage: Eukaryota; Metazoa; Chordata; Mammalia; Rodentia; Sciuridae. The record is from Rfam by way of RNAcentral.